GCCACCCUAGCUCAAUUGGCAGAGCAAUACUUUCGUAAAGUAGAGGUUCGCGGUUCGAUUCCGCGGGGUGGCU
RNAcentral lists this transfer RNA (73 nucleotides) under Candidatus Spechtbacteria bacterium RIFCSPHIGHO2_02_FULL_43_15b. RNAcentral describes it as "tRNA-Thr". It matches the Rfam family "tRNA". From Rfam's summary of the family: Transfer RNA (tRNA) molecules are approximately 80 nucleotides in length. Their secondary structure includes four short double-helical elements and three loops (D, anti-codon, and T loops). The record is from RNAcentral. Lineage: Bacteria; Candidatus Spechtiibacteriota.